UACGGAGGAUCCAAGCGUUAUCCGGAAUCAUUGGGCUUAAAGGGUCCGUAGGCGGUUUUGUAAGUCAGUGGUGAAAGCCCAUCGCUCAACGGUGGAACGGCCAUUGAUACUGCAAGACUUGAAUUAUUAGGAAGUAACUAGAAUAUGUAGUGUAGCGGUGAAAUGCUUAGAUAUUACAUGGAAUACCAAUUGCGAAGGCAGGUUACUGGUAAGAUAUUGACGCUGAUGGACGAAAGCGUGGGGAGCGAACAGG
This 253-nucleotide ribosomal RNA is filed under the name uncultured bacterium. Its description in RNAcentral is "partial 16S ribosomal RNA". It matches the Rfam family "Bacterial small subunit ribosomal RNA", at positions 524 to 776 of the family's 1533-position model. The record is from RNAcentral.